RNAcentral lists this microRNA (17 nucleotides) under Macrophomina phaseolina MS6. Its description in RNAcentral is "miR-4508". Lineage: Eukaryota; Fungi; Ascomycota; Dothideomycetes; Botryosphaeriales; Botryosphaeriaceae. The record is from RNAcentral.
GCGGGGAUCGGCGCGCG